AAGGGCACCACAAGAACGCGUGGAGCAUGUGGCUUAAUUUGACUCAACGCGGGAAAUCUUACCGGGUCCGGACACACUGAGGAUUGACAGGCAAUCAUGUGAAUUGUUUUUUUUAUUUUUUUUAAUUAUAAAAAAAGCAUUCACAUAUAAAUAUGCUAGUCCUUUCAUGAUUAUGUGAUAGGUGGUGCAUGGCCGUUCUUAGUUCGUGGAGUGAUCUGUCUGCUUAAUUGCGUUUCAUACUGGACUUAGAAAUCAAGUGUGUUUAUUUUUCUUGUACAUGUUUUUUUUUUUUUUWAAUUUNAAAAGGUAUCUNGUWCCCCCWUUUWUUGGGGNGGNGUUCCNUUUWAGGUUUUUUUUUUUAUAAAUUAAAAUAAUUCAUGUUACUUUAAUUAGAUAAAUAAAUACAUAUCUAGUCCUGAAAGCAACGAACGUGACCGCAUCCUCUUGUUGCCUUUUAACUUAAAACUUUUUUUUUAUUUUUUUUUAAUUUAUUUUUUAAAACGUUUUAUAACAUAAGAGGCUUUCUUAAAACUAGAGGGACCGCUGCGACUUUUUUAAACCAGAGGAAGGUUGCGGCAAUAACAGGUCUGUGAUGCCCUUAGAUGUUCCGGGCUGCACACGUGCUACAAUGAUUAUUGCAGUGAGCAUCUCAUUUACAGCACUGUUUUUUCAUUUUUUUUUUAUUUUUUUUAUUUAAUUUUUAAAGAUGAGCAGUCAAAGCCUGCUUCGAAAGUUCGCAGGUAAUCAAUUGGAAGUAAUGAUUUCCCUUAACUCAAAUUUGUUUUUGAUUUUGUGAGCACACAAUAUGCUGCUCCCUUCCCUGGCAUUUAGCUAAUUUUUGUCUAUUUGUCAUUGUGUGUGGGGAUGUUUUCAGCAUGUGCUUUUUGUCAAUUCAUGGUGGGGACAGACCAUUGUUAAUUGUUGGUCUCGGUCUCAACUAGGAAUGCCUUGUACGGGUCUUUGGUUCAACAAACCACCCGGAAUACGUCCCUGCCCUUUGUACACACCGCCCGUC
Molecule: ribosomal RNA, 1015 nt
Filed under: Gloiogullmia sp. 2882
Lineage: Eukaryota; Foraminifera; Allogromiidae
Description: partial 18S ribosomal RNA
Rfam family: Eukaryotic small subunit ribosomal RNA
Source: RNAcentral